GCUGUUACUGCUUGCUGUUAUUGUUUGAUUGAUGAGUUAAUGUUAGUAAACACUUGGAUUGUUAAUUUGUUAGCUGGAUUUUUAAUUUUUUUUUUUAUCAACUCAUUUUGAUAGCUAGUACUUUUCUUUGGAUUUUCUACUUUUGUUAAGACUUUAUGUUGACCAGCAAAAGAGCAAUUGAUGUUUCAAUUUUUUGAUUAACCACCUGUUUUUUGGCGGGUAAAUUUAUCCGUCGGAUAAAUCCGGGCCCGAAUUCUACCAAUGAUGGGUGCUAACAUUUAAC
This 283-nucleotide long non-coding RNA is filed under the name Linum usitatissimum (flax). RNAcentral's name for it is "long non-coding RNA (LUSI_LNC006212)". The record is from RNAcentral. Lineage: Eukaryota; Viridiplantae; Streptophyta; Magnoliopsida; Malpighiales; Linaceae.